ACUGGAGGAGGAGGAGAAAGAGAAAUUAAUUAAUCUCACAAAGAAGCAGGUGCACUAAAUAGGAAUGUCUAAGCUUUCUGUUCAGCUAUGUUUACCUUUGGACUAAAGGGAAAAGACACGGUUUUCUUUUAAGAAAGAAUAAGAGGUUGAAAUGAAAUAAGAGCCAGUGGGGAUCAACGGAAGAGAAGAACCGCUGUAAAACAGGAAGAAAAGUCCAUUUUCAUCUUCUCUUUACAUUUUGUAACAAUGUAGGCUACCUCUUUACUAACAAGAUUUUAUGAAAACAGUGCUUCCAUAUUUAAAAGUAAUGACAAUAUUAUAUGUAAAAGACCUAAUUAUCAGAUUAGAAUAUCAUUUUAGGAAUAAUUUUUUAAAGGCAUAAACCAAAGAUCAUUUCAUGCCCCUCUCCCACUACUAAAAUGCAAAUCAUGCCACAAUGUUCCAACAGGUCAAUUUAAUAAUCUUUUUCUCUCCUUUGAGGCUCUAGUAUACAUAUCACUUCUCCUAUUAGGUAGGAGGUAAUUUAUGUCACCUGGAUUUGCUGGUGUGCUUCUAAUUAAGCUAUUUCAUUAAUAAAUCACAUAGUAACUGUGUCCUGCAAUAAAAAUCAUGUGCUGCAUAGGACCUGAGAAAUGUAUCACUAUGCUGAAUUUCAGAUGACACCCUAAUUUCUCUUGCAAAAACACAUUUACCUUUAAAUUGUUCAUGUGUACAUGUGUGUAUAUAUUUCACUUAAAUAUCCAAUCUGAUCCAAAGUAUAUUUUUACUGAGAUAGCUGAAUAAAUUUGAAUUGAGAU
Molecule: long non-coding RNA, 797 nt
Organism: Cebus imitator (Panamanian white-faced capuchin)
Lineage: Eukaryota; Metazoa; Chordata; Mammalia; Primates; Cebidae
Exons: 2
Source: RefSeq, a predicted model, not a curated record